RNAcentral lists this ribosomal RNA (253 nucleotides) under uncultured bacterium. RNAcentral describes it as "partial 16S ribosomal RNA". It matches the Rfam family "Bacterial small subunit ribosomal RNA", at positions 524 to 776 of the family's 1533-position model. The record is from RNAcentral.
UACGGAUGGUGCGAGCGUUAAUCGGAAUCACUGGGCAUAAAGAGCACGUAGGCGGCGACGUAAGUCAGUGGUGAAAUCCCUCGGCUCAACCGAGGAACUGCCGUUGAUACUGUGUUGCUGGAGUGCGGGAGGGGCAGACGGAAUUCCAGGUGGAGCGGUGAAAUGCGUAGAUAUCUGGAGGAACGCCGGAGGCGAAAGCGGUCUGCUGGCCCGUAACUGACGCUGAGGUGCGAAAGCUAGGGGAGCAAACAGG